GACAAUUUUGACCUCAAAUCAGGUAAGACUACCCGCUGAACUUAAGCAUAUCAAUAAGCGGAGGAAAAGAAACUAACAAGGAUUCCCCUAGUAACUGCGAGUGAAGCGGGAAAAGCUCAAAUUUAAAAUCUGGCAGUCUUUGGCUGUCCGAGUUGUAAUCUAGAGAAGUGUUACCCG
RNAcentral lists this ribosomal RNA (177 nucleotides) under Coprinopsis sp. CBM-FB-39575. RNAcentral's name for it is "Coprinopsis sp. CBM-FB39575 partial 28S ribosomal RNA". It matches the Rfam family "Eukaryotic large subunit ribosomal RNA", at positions 1 to 167 of the family's 3401-position model. The record is from RNAcentral. Lineage: Eukaryota; Fungi; Basidiomycota; Agaricomycetes; Agaricales; Psathyrellaceae.